This 338-nucleotide ribosomal RNA is filed under the name Siphateles bicolor mohavensis. RNAcentral describes it as "partial 16S ribosomal RNA". It matches the Rfam family "Bacterial large subunit ribosomal RNA", at positions 675 to 1084 of the family's 2925-position model. Lineage: Eukaryota; Metazoa; Chordata; Actinopteri; Cypriniformes; Leuciscidae. The record is from RNAcentral.
CAGCACCCUCAAGCAAAGAGACCUUUAGUUUGAAACCCCGAAACCAGGUGAGCUACCCCGAGACAGCCUAUAUUAUUUAGGGCUAACCCGUCUCUGUGGCAAAAGAGUGGGAAGAGCUCCGGGUAGAAGUGACAGACCUACCGAACCUGGUGAUAGCUGGUUGUCUGAGAAGUGGAUAGAAGUUCAGCCUCAUUCGCCCCAAAUCAAGAUGUAUAUUAUUAAGAUACUAUGGGAAAUAUAUGAGAGUUAGUUGAAAGGGGUACAGCCCUUUUAACAAAGGAUACAACCUUUUACAGGAGGAUAAAGAUCAUAGUAUAUAAAACAUACUGUUUUAGUGG